RNAcentral lists this ribosomal RNA (1052 nucleotides) under uncultured archaeon. RNAcentral's name for it is "bacterial SSU rRNA". It matches the Rfam family "Archaeal small subunit ribosomal RNA", at positions 1 to 1052 of the family's 1478-position model. The record is from RNAcentral.
AGCGGCCGCUCUGGUUGAUCCGGCGGAGGUUACUGCUAUCGAGGUUCGACUAAGCCAUGCGAGUCAAAUGUAGCAAUACAUGGCGUACUGCUCAGUAACACGCGGACAACCUACCCUUGGGACGGGGAUAAACCCGGGAAACUGGGUAUAAUACCCGAUAGUCCUUGACUGCUGGAAUGCAUCGAGGUCGAAAGCUCUGGUGCCUAAGGAUGGGUCUGUGGCCUAUCAGGUAGUAGUGGGUGUAGCGUACCUACUAGCCUACGACGGGUACGGGUUGUGAGAGCAGGAGCCUGGAGAUGGAUUCUGAGACACGAAUCCAGGCCCUACGGGGUGCAGCAGGCGCGAAAACUUUACAAUGCUGGAAACAGCGAUAAGGGAACCUCGAGUGCCAGGUUACAAAUCUGGCUGUCGUGAUGCCUAAAAAGCAUUGCAUAGCAAGGGCUGGGCAAGACCGGUGCCAGCCGCCACGGUAACACCGGCGGCUCGAGUGGUAACCGUUAUUAUUGGGUCUAAAGGGUCUGUAGCCGGCCGGAUAAGUCUCUUGGGAAAUCUGGCAGCUUAACUGUCAGGCUUUCAGGAGAUACUGUCUGGCUCGAGGCCGGGAGAGGUGGGAGGUACUUCAGGGGUAGGGGUGAAAUCUUGUAAUCCUUGAAGGACCACCAGUGGCGAAGGCGUCUCACCAGAACGGACCUGACGGCAAGGGACGAAAGCUAGGGGCACGAACCGGAUUAGAUACCCGGGUAGUCCUAGCCGUAAACGAUACUCGCUAGGUGUCGGCCACGGUGCGACCGUGGUCGGUGCCGUAGGGAAGCCGUGAAGCGAGCCACCUGGGAAGUACGGCCGCAAGGCUGAAACUUAAAGGAAUUGGCGGGGGAGCGCCACAACGGGUGGAGCUUGCGGUUUAAUUGGAUUCAACGCCGGAAAUCCUACCGGGACCGACAGCAAUAUGAAGGCCAGGUUGAAGACUUUGCCGGAUUAGCUGAGAGGUGGUGCAUGGCCGUCGUCAGUUCGUACUGUGAAGCAUCCUGUUAAGUCAGGCAACGAGCGAGACC